Molecule: small RNA, 535 nt
Filed under: Pongo abelii (Sumatran orangutan)
Lineage: Eukaryota; Metazoa; Chordata; Mammalia; Primates; Hominidae
Description: processed transcript
Source: RNAcentral
AAAGUUAUAAACUUGAAUUGAUAAGACAUGUGGUUUAUGUUUCAAAGGGGUGAAAUUUAACUCUAGGUACGUAUUACUCUCCCGUUUAUGGAUGAAUGAUAGAUGACUUCCUGAGCCAUGAUUAUUUUUCUCUACAAAGAGCAGUGAUCUCUCUACCUGCUAAGAAUGGUGACUCUUUGUUAGCUGAUGAAGGCAGUGACUUUGAAGACAGCUUGAAUCGCAAUGUGAAGAAGAGAGCAGCAAAACGACCACCGAAAACAACGCCGGUGGCAAAACAUCCAAAGAAAGGGUACCGAGUGGUACAUCGUCAUAGCCGGAAAAAGUCAGAGCCACCAGCCAAUGAUCUUUUCAAUGCUGUGAAAGCCGCCAAAAGUGACAUGCAGCUAUGAAACUGAUGACUUCCCUGGUAAAAGUUGCCCUCCAACUGAGUCUGCACCAAGAUAACAAUCAGCGUCAGUAUGAGGCUGAAAGAAACAAGGGGCCAGGGCAGAGGGCACCUGAGCGGCUGGAGAGCCUGUUGGAGAAACGCAAAGAG